CGCUGGAAUUAAGCAUAUAAUUAAGCGGAGGAAAAGAAACUAACCAGGAUUCCCCUAGUAAGGGCGACUGAAGCGGGAAGAGCUCAAAAUGUGAAUCUAAUAGCCUUAGCUGGCUGUUCGAAUUGUGGUCUACAGAUUUGGAUUUGGAGCGCGCGGCGGGAUAAGUCCAUUGGAACAUGGCGGCAGAGAGGGUGAGACCCCCGUUCAUGCCUUCCGCGUCAACCUUAACAUUCCUUAUCAAUGAGUCGAGUUGCUUGGGAUUGCAGCUCAAAGUGGGUGGUAAAUUCCAUCUAAAGCUAAAUAUUGGUGGGAGACCGAUAGCGAACAAGUACCGUGAGGGAAAGAUGCAAAGAACUUUGAAAAGAGAGUUAAAGAGUACCUGAAAUUGCUGAAAGGGAAGCGAAGGAAACCAGUGUCGAGUUUGUGCAUAUUACUGGCGCCUAGUGGCGUCAGGCCGUGUGCUUACUCGGGUCAGUAUCGGUUUACAUCUGGGGUGAAACGGUUGCCUGCGUUUUGCGCGGCUUCUCCGACUCCGGUAAGACCGAGGCCAGUCUCGCAAGAGCUCGUGAUACUGACGAAAUGGUUUUCUUUACCCCGUCUUGAAACCGGGAACCAA
This 616-nucleotide ribosomal RNA is filed under the name Triparma pacifica. RNAcentral's name for it is "eukaryotic LSU rRNA". It matches the Rfam family "Eukaryotic large subunit ribosomal RNA", at positions 26 to 664 of the family's 3401-position model. Lineage: Eukaryota; Bolidophyceae; Parmales; Triparmaceae. The record is from RNAcentral.